This 490-nucleotide ribosomal RNA is filed under the name uncultured bacterium. RNAcentral's name for it is "partial 16S ribosomal RNA". It matches the Rfam family "Bacterial small subunit ribosomal RNA", at positions 30 to 507 of the family's 1533-position model. The record is from RNAcentral.
AUUGAACGCUGGCGGCAGGCCUAACACAUGCAAGUCGAACGGUAACAGGAAACAGCUUGCUGUUUCGCUGACGAGUGGCGGACGGGUGAGUAAUGUCUGGGAAACUGCCUGAUGGAGGGGGAUAACUACUGGAAACGGUAGCUAAUACCGCAUAACGUCGCAGGACCAAAGAGGGGGACCCUCGGGCCUCUUGCCAUCGGAUGUGCCCAGAUGGGAUUAGCUUGUUGGUGGGGUAACGGCUCACCAAGGCGACGAUCCCUAGCUGGUCUGAGAGGAUGACCAGCCACACUGGAACUGAGACACGGUCCAGACUCCUACGGGAGGCAGCAGUGGGGAAUAUUGCACAAUGGGCGCAAGCCUGAUGCAGCCAUGCCGCGUGUAUGAAGAGGGCCUUCGGGUUGUAAAGUACUUUCAGCGGGGAGGAAGGGAGUAAAGUUAAUACCUUUGCUCAUUGACGUUACCCGCAGAAGAAGCACCGGCUAACUCCGUG